GUCCCUAUCUGCCGUGGGCGCUGGAGAACUGAGGGGGGCUGCUCCUAGUACGAGAGGACCGGAGUGGACGCAUCACUGGUGUUCGGGUUGUCAUGCCAAUGGCACUGCCCGGUAGCUAAAUGCGGAAGAGAUAAGUGCUGAAAGCAUCUAAGCACGAAACUUGCCCCGAGAUGAGUUCUCCCUGAGACUUAGAGUCUCCUGAAGGAACGUUGAAGACGACGACGUUGAUAGGCCGGGUGUGUAAGCGCAGCGAUGCGUUGAGCUAACCGGUACUAAUGAACCGUGAGGCUUAACCUUACAACGCCGAAG
This 309-nucleotide ribosomal RNA is filed under the name Salmonella enterica. RNAcentral's name for it is "partial 23S ribosomal RNA". It matches the Rfam family "Bacterial large subunit ribosomal RNA", at positions 2634 to 2925 of the family's 2925-position model. Lineage: Bacteria; Pseudomonadati; Pseudomonadota; Gammaproteobacteria; Enterobacterales; Enterobacteriaceae. The record is from RNAcentral.